GGCUUGAACUGACGCUGAGGCUCGAAAGCGUGGGGAGCAAACGGGAUUACAUACCCUGGGAUUCCACGCUGUAAACGAUGAAUGCUAGGAGUUACACCCUUUCCGGGGUUUAGUGCCGGAGGUAACGCAUUACCCACUCCGCCUGGGGAGUACGACCGCAAGGUUGAAACUCAAAUGAAUUGACGGAAUCACUACCGAAGUCGCAGCGGGAGGCAGCUGUAGGGAAUCUUCGGCAAUGGACGGAAGUCUGACCGAGCAACGCCGCGUGAGUGAAGAAGGUUUUCGGAUCGUAAAGCUCUGUUGUAAGAGAAGAACGAGUGUGAGAGUGGAAAGUUCACACUGUGACGGUAUCUUACCAGAAAGGGACGGCUAACUACGUGCCAGCAGCCGCGGUAAUACGUAGGUCCCGAGCGUUGUCCGGAUUUAUUGGGCGUAAAGCGAGCGCAGGCGGUUAGAUAAGUCUGAAGUUAAAGGCUGUGGCUUAACCAUAGUAGGCUUUGGAAACUGUUUAACUUGAGUGCAAGAGGGGAGAGUGGAAUUCC
RNAcentral lists this ribosomal RNA (542 nucleotides) under uncultured Streptococcus sp. Its description in RNAcentral is "bacterial SSU rRNA". It matches the Rfam family "Bacterial small subunit ribosomal RNA", at positions 179 to 670 of the family's 1533-position model. Lineage: Bacteria; Bacillati; Bacillota; Bacilli; Lactobacillales; Streptococcaceae. The record is from RNAcentral.